GUCUGGAAUCAUGUUCUUGUCAAUGUCUGUACUUGCACAAUCCCAAACUUGCUUUUAUACAUCUUAAACUUACUAUGAACUUUACAGGGUUUUGUUUUUCUCUUUUGCAACCCUUGAAUGUGUUUGUUGAUUGACAUCUAUGCAUAUCGAUUUCAUCAUCCUCGAGUUGAUCGAUUGGUUUAGAUGACCAUCAACAAACGCUUUCGUGGUUUUGCAUCUCCUCUUGAAAUCUUGAUAAUGUUUUUAGCGUCUUUGUUACUGUUUUUUUUGUGUCUGUAGGAUUUUGUAUCGUCAAAGCAGCUCAAGAAUCGACCAGUCGUCAUAGCUUAGCCGAUGAAAAAGAAUCCUGGUCUUGUAUUUGCAGUCGUCACAUAUUUGGAGAGGAAACCCAAGUUCUAAAGCCAUAGGUUCUUUUAGAAACUGUAAAGUCUAGAAUUUUGAAAUUAAGCUUAUGUGUAUUGAUCGGUGUAGAAAAAGAUGAAUGAUGUGUAAAGAAAAUAGGCAAGUCUUGGUAUGUUAAAAUAAAGAUCAAUGCUCAGUACCUCUGAGAUAACACUACUCUACUCCGAAAAGUUGUGGUUGUGGAGAAAUGGGACCAAAAAAGUCAACGAACAAGUCUUAAGUUGUUCUGGUUUAGCUACUACUACUUCUUUGAUGAUGAUGUAUAUGGUUGUUGACUUC
This is a long non-coding RNA of Capsella rubella, 681 nucleotides long. RefSeq lists it as uncharacterized. The record is from RefSeq and is a predicted model, not a curated record. The transcript has 2 exons. Lineage: Eukaryota; Viridiplantae; Streptophyta; Magnoliopsida; Brassicales; Brassicaceae.